This 515-nucleotide unclassified non-coding RNA is filed under the name Hevea brasiliensis (rubber tree). The record is from RNAcentral. Lineage: Eukaryota; Viridiplantae; Streptophyta; Magnoliopsida; Malpighiales; Euphorbiaceae.
GAACUCCUUCCACACAUGGUGCUCCGAAGCAAGACGAUACAAUGACGCAUUCACACACGAAACAACACCAAGCUCCUUCGGUUCUAAGCAAUUAAGUAUUUCUGAGAUCAAAGCCGGAGGGAGGUCAGUAAUAGACCGACUAUCAGGCAAAACCUCAUUAACAGCGAGCAACUCCUCGCAUUUCAAACUCAAACUACCACCUUUCCCAUCCAAUCUCCACAAUGAUUUUUGCUUCUCUGAGUCAAAUAUGGAACUCUUUGGGUUCUUUGAAGGUUCAAAAAAACUAGUAUCAACUUUUUCUCUGCAGGGGUAGUCUACACAAUCUAUAGAACAAUCUUUCAAACCAAUCUUAGUACCUCUUUGGCAUUCAAAUUCCAUAAAAUUGGUUCCCCUAACCCUAAAUAUUCAACAGCAGAGCCCUAUAAUAAAGAGGAAGAAGAACAAUGGCUUCCGAAUUUGCUUUGAAAUUUUUAGGGAUUCGAAUUUUGGGGAAAAAUAAAUUUUGGUGAAUUUGA